UGAAAAUGCGAUGUCCUGUAUUGCAUAGUAAAAAAAAAAGAUUCUUGCCGGCCAAAUUAACAUUCCAGGUCAACAUGACACUUUUAAUUGAUAACCUGUGUCCUAGUAAAAUACAUGUUCUUUGAUCGGUGCAUGUCUUUACUCAUUUAUUAUUUGUCCCUUCUUCCGAAAUAUAAGAAAACAAAACCGCACACAAUCUGAGAACUU
RNAcentral lists this long non-coding RNA (207 nucleotides) under Mytilus galloprovincialis (Mediterranean mussel). Lineage: Eukaryota; Metazoa; Mollusca; Bivalvia; Mytilida; Mytilidae. The record is from RNAcentral.